GAUGAACGCUGGCGGCGUGCCUAAUACAUGCAAGUCGAGCGAAUGGAUUAAGAGCUUGCUCUUAUGAAGUUAGCGGCGGACGGGUGAGUAACACGUGGGUAACCUGCCCAUAAGACUGGGAUAACUCCGGGAAACCGGGGCUAAUACCGGAUAACAUUUUGGACCGCAUGGUUCGAAAUUGAAAGGCGGCUUCGGCUGUCACUUAUGGAUGGACCAGCGUCGCAUUAGCUAGUUGGUGAGGUAACGGGUCACCAAGGCAACGAUGCGUAGCCUGCCUGGGAGGGAGAUCGGCCACACUGGGACUGGGACACGGCCCCGACUCCUUCGGGGGGCAGCAGUAGGGAAUCUUCCGCAAUUGACGAAAGGCUGACGGAGCAACGCCGCGUGAGUGAUGAAGGCUUUCGGGUCGUAAAACUCUGUUGUUAGGGAAGAACAAGCGCUAGUUGAAUAAGCUGGCACCUUGACGGUACCUAACCAGAAAGCCACGGCUAACUACGUGCCAGCCACCGCGGUAA
This 515-nucleotide ribosomal RNA is filed under the name uncultured bacterium. RNAcentral's name for it is "partial 16S ribosomal RNA". It matches the Rfam family "Bacterial small subunit ribosomal RNA", at positions 28 to 523 of the family's 1533-position model. The record is from RNAcentral.